This 22118-nucleotide long non-coding RNA is filed under the name Solanum tuberosum (potato). Its description in RNAcentral is "long non-coding RNA (STUB_LNC009458)". Lineage: Eukaryota; Viridiplantae; Streptophyta; Magnoliopsida; Solanales; Solanaceae. The record is from RNAcentral.
UAGACUUCAGUAAAUGUUCAUUUCAAGUACAGAAUGGUUCAAACAUCUAGAGAUACUUACUGGCCGGAGAAGAUUUAAGCACAAAUGCAUAAAUUAUAAGCAAAUGUAUAUCAAUAUAAAUGUAAAAAAGAAGAAGAAGUAUAACCAAGAUAAAGAUAAUAAAAUUUACUGACUUUAUUUCCUUGUAGAACAUCAAUGACUUCUUGAGGGUUGAACAAUCUACUCCGUUUUCCAGGGUCUUGAGAUUCCAUGCGAACGAUUUCUCUUCCCAUUUCCUGCACUAGAUCAUGCAUCACCAAACUAGACCAAUCAUCCCUUUGGAGCAAGUUCCUUUGGACUAAGGUUGAAUUGAACUUUCAGAAUAAAAACCACACGCAUUUAAUGUUUUGGCAACUUCAUCCUCAUAACAACCAUGGAAGGCACAUGCGAUAUCAAAGGAAAACACUCCGAGUAUUGACAUCAAGUCCAUCAAAGCUUAUCUUGAGAAUCUUUUGAAUAUCACCAUGAGGAAUUGCUUUUAGUUUUUUGAACUCGUAUCUCCAUUCUUUAACGGAUCUCCCUAGCAGAUGUGACCCCAAUGUCACAAGAGCUAAUGGUAGCCCACCUGAAUAUUUUAUUAUGUCUUGUGCCAGUUCAACAUAUUCUUGUGGUGGAGAAAAACAGUUAAAAGCAUGACAAGAAAAAAGUUGUUGGGCUUCAUUGUCAUUUAAAAGUUUGGCCCGGUAUAUCUCACUUGUUGUAAGCCCAUAUAGCAAAUGUUCAUCUCGGGUUGUAAUAAUUAUUACACUACCAGAGCCAAACCAACUUCUUUCUCUUGUUAAGGAUUCUAAUUGGCUUCUAUGAUCUACGUCAUCAAGAACAAUUAGAACCUUUUGAGACCCAAGUCUUGCUUUGAUGAGAUUAGCACCUUCAGCAACAUUAUCAACUUCAAAUUCCUUAGUUUUGAGGAUUUGAUUAAGUAGUUUCUCUUGAAGCUUGACUAGACCAGAUUCUUCAGUUUUUGAUCUAAUGUCAGAAAGGAAGCAACUACCAUCAAACUGUUGAAAUAUUCGAUUAUAGAUAGCUUUUGCCAAAGUUGUUUUUCCAAUUCCACCAACGCCACAUAUACCAACCAUGCAAACUUCAUGCUCACAUCCACUUUGCAGUAACAACUCUAUAUGUUUGAUAGGAGAAUCUAAUCCAGUUGGGUAAUGAGCAACAUCUAGAGGUGUCUGGUUAACCUCUCGCAGAACUUGUUUUAUAAUAUUUUCAAUAAAUUUUGCUUCAUGCCUACAGUUUUUGCAACAAUAAAUACUUAGGUAUUUAAAAAUAUUUGAUGAACAAAAUAAAAAUCAAUAGCCAAAAGAUAAAAGAGUUUAUAGAAUGGAGAAUAUAUUCCUUGUCCCUAUCUAUAUGACACAGUUUGAUUUGACACAAAAUUUAAGAAAUAUAGAAAGACUUUACAAUGUUCCAAAAUUAACCAAGUUAUAAGCUUAGGCAAACGCUUAAAUUCAAAAUUUAAUAGUUGAAUUAAGAAGUCUUACCCAUCAGCAACAUUUCUCAAAUCCCAUCCAGAUAAAUUUGCUGCUUCAGUAAGUGCAGCUUUCCACUUUUCCAUUCUUUCAGCUCCAACAAAUCGUUCCUUAUGUUUUGCCAAAGCUUCGUCAAAGGAUCCAGUUUGCCUUCGCACUUGAGAAGGAUCAACAUCAUAGAAAAUAGGCAAAACUACCUGAUUUAACCUCUCUUUGCAAUCGAGAAUUUUGACAAGUUCAUCAAGACACCAACUAGAGGAAGCAUAAUUUUUGGAGAAAACAACAAUGGCAACCCUAGACUGUUCAAUUGCUUUCUCAAGUUCAAUUGAAAUGACGUCUCCCUUUCUCAAUUCCUCAUCAUCUAUGAAAGUAUUAACUCCAACUUGACACAAUCGGAAAUAAAGAUGACCUGUGAAGUUUUUCCGAGUAUCUUCACCUCUGAAACUGAGAAACACAUCAUAAGAUAAGUUGGAAGAAGAAGAUGAUUCUCCUACAACAAAUUGAGUAUUCAUAUUUGAUGACAAUAAAUUAAAGAGAUUUUUAGUCAAUUUUUUGCUUAAUUAAUUAAAUAGAGAUGUGAAGCAGCUAUUUAUAUACCCACAAGUACUUGUUUGUUCCUGGAAAUUUAAUUUUGGGUCAAGUCAUUUACAAGCCCCAAAGAAGGUUUACAGAAAUGAAAGGGAAGUUUCCAAGACAUAAUAUGUCUAUUCACUUUUAUUUGUCCAGCUAUUAAAAGUAGAUAUACAAUUUACUUUCAUUUCCUUCGUAGAUUUUUACUCAUUCACACUAUUAAAAAUAAUGAUCAUUUUUAUAAUGUAUUUUUUCAUCAUAUUAAUAUGCAAAAAAUUGUAAUUUAUAAUUUUUUUAUAGUUUUUGAAUAUUUAAAUUUUUUGUUUAAAAUAUCAAAUUAAUACAAUCUAAUUUAAUUUUGAAAAUUAAUUAAAUUGACUUUCGAAAAUGACAAUAUGAUAUAAAUGAGAGAAUACCAAAAGAGCUGGCAAAUUUCCACCAAAACUUCGCAAGUGGAAAUUAUUAUUAUCUUAAAGUUAUGAACUCACAUCUACAAUUAUUAUUUAGUUUAUUAUAUUUAAAUAAAAAAGAGGAAAAGUCGGAAGUUGUAAAAUUUUAAAUGACAAGUAGAAUGUUUCAACAUGAAUUUAUGAUACUUUAAUAAGCAAUAUUCGUUCUGUAAUAAAUUAAUCGCAAAGAAUUGAUUAGGAAUUUGGUUGAAAAUAGAAAUGGUCCAAUUCAAGAUGAAACUAUUAGAAUUGACCUUUGGUGAGGAAGUAAAUUAAAUUACUCCCUUCGUCUAUUUUUAUUUGUCUAGUAUUAACUCAUGCAAUAAAUAAAACAAAAACAUGAUCGUAUUUGUUCCUGUAUUCUAACAAAAAAGUUAUAUUAUUUGUCAUUUGUUAUACUUCAGAGUCAUAUUUAUCCUUGAGACAUUAAAUCUCCAUGACCCGCCUUAAUUUAACGCAGAAUAGGACGAACACUCUUCUCCAAAGUCCAAGCUAAGACUGUUUCCAUUACUAAAAAUCAAUAAAUUACACAGUUCGAUCACUUACAAUGUUCUCUGGUAUUGUAGGUUAAUCAGAGAGACACUAUAUUCACUAUACAAAGAAAAAGUUGAUCAAUUUUUAAAACUAAGCUUUAGUGCAACUCUACAUACUAGCACUAUACAAUGGAAAAAUUGGUUACAUAAAUUAAACAAAAUUUUCUAUAGAAGCUACUGCUAUCGAAGCUCGAUGCUCCAUUGUUCAUACCUAAUAAUGGCUUUGUAGCCCUAUAAUAGUACACAUUCUACUACAUCCAUCUUCCCAUCUUCAUUGACAUCAUUUUCCUCUUCUUGUGGGCUUUAUGCUUUUCUGCAAUCCUCAGCCUCCUCUUGGCGUUUCUCAUUGGAUUGACCUUCUCUUCUUGUUUCCUCUUAUCCCUCUUCGAUUUGAUAUUCUUCCUUAUAUGACUGUAGAUUUGGACAAAAUAUGUGUUCCUAUAACAUUGCUUAUGCUCCCUCGCACUCCUUCAGCCAGUUGUUUCACGUCAUCUGUGGAGAUGAUGCAAACGUAAUGUCACGCCCCGAGCGUACACCCUGGGCAGGACCGGCACCCGGAGACCAUUUCUGGCCCCAAGCGAACCCUUGGCCUGGCUUUCUUAACUCAGCGGAAACCUAACCCAACAGAAUAACUCAAUGCAAUGCAAUAUUACAAAACAACUUAACUUAUAAAAUAUGGCCAUAAAGGCAACUCGAAUCUCAAAAUAGAAUAUUUACAUAUAUAUAUAGAUGAGAGACUCAAAACUAACUGACUGACUGUCUGUCUAUGAAGCCUCUAAAAUACUGAGAUGGAUGUUGGGACAGACCCCGCAACACCCUAAUAAGACAAAACUAAGAGAACAAAAUAACUAAGCCCUCCGGAAGCAAGGAGGCUCACACUGACUCUGGAGUGCUCAANNNNNNNNNNNNNNNNNNNNNNNNNNNNNNNNNNNNNNNNNNNNNNNNNNNNNNNNNNNNNNNNNNNNNNNNNNNNNNNNNNNNNNNNNNNNNNNNNNNNNNNNNNNNNNNNNNNNNNNNNNNNNNNNNNNNNNNNNNNNNNNNNNNNNNNNNNNNNNNNNNNNNNNNNNNNNNNNNNNNNNACAAGGAUACAAUAAGCCUGAGAUGUAUAUAGAAAUACAAUUAAACUGAUGUAUAUAAAAAAAUACAAUAAUCUCUGUGUAUGAAAAUACAAUAACUGCUGUGGGAGUUUCUCUAACNNNNNNNNNNNNNNNNNNNNNNNNNNNNNNNNNNNNNNNNNNNNNNNNNNNNNNNNNNNNNNNNNNNNNNNNNNNNNNACUUUGGCUCAUAUGUUUUAAAAACAAACUUCUUUCUUUAGUUUGAGAUAAUUGCUUAAAACCUAGCCCAAAGGCUCUCUUGGAAUCAAUGUUCCCUUUACUUUGCUCAAAUGUGAAAACAUUUAUAAACUUCUUUGGGAAUACUUAGUUCCCUAAUAGCUUUUGAGAAAUGAACUCAACUUUAUGCUCUUGACUUACUUGAAACUUGAGACUCUUUACUUAGCUUGAAACUUUAAACUCUUUACUUGACUUGACACUUGAGUCUAAAAAUGAAGUUAAAACGUUCAAUAAAGACUCUUGAACAACUUUGCAACUUGCUUACCUUGCUUAACUUCUAAGCUUAACUCUUAAUUUCUAACUUCACUUGACUUCUAACUAACUCUCCUUGAAUUGGAAUUUUGGAUUCAAGGUGUUUGAUCACAUGUUAUGGAUGAGUUCUUGACUUUUAGAAGUACCUUGGAGUGUUGGAAACAACUAGGAAACAUAGGUAUAAUACCUAGGAACAUGUAUGAAAAAAGUGGUGAAUGAAAGGGAAGGAUUGGUGUCCUUGGCACUAGGAGAGGUGCGACAGCCCAGCCCUUUGUUCCCCAAAAAUCCGACUUUUUCCCCUUGUUUCUUUCCAAUUCUAAACCCUCUCAACCUCAAGGUUUCAGCAACAACACUUAGAAUCAUAAAGACCCUUAUUAUACAAUAGAUUCAACUCAAAAAUCACAGCCGGAAAUUUGUACUAAACCAGCAAGAACUUCAACACAACACCACUACAACUUCAACAACCAAUAAAUCUUCUCUUGGAAUUAAAAACGAGUUGGUGUGUGGGGGUAUGAACCAACCAACNNNNNNNNNNNNNNNNNNNNNNNNNNNNNNNNNNNNNNNNNNNNNNNNNNNNNNNNNNNNNNNNNNNNNNNNNNNNNNNNNNNNNNNNNNNNNNNNNNNNNNNNNNNNNNNNNNNNNNNNNNNNNNNNNNNNNNNNNNNNNNNNNNNNNNNNNNNNNNNNNNNNNNNNNNNNNNNNNNNNNNNNNNNNNNNNNNNNNNNNNNNNNNNNNNNNNNNNNNNNNNNNNNNNNNNNNNNNNNNNNNNNNNNNNNNNNNNNNNNNNNNNNNNNNNNNNNNNNNNNNNNNNNNNNNNNNNNNNNNNNNNNNNNNNNNNNNNNNNNNNNNNNNNNNNNNNNNNNNNNNNNNNNNNNNNNNNNNNNNNNNNNNNNNNNNNNNNNNNNNNNNNNNNNNNNNNNNNNNNNNNNNNNNNNNNNNNNNNNNNNNNNNNNNNNNNNNNNNNNNNNNNNNNNNNNNNNNNNNNNNNNNNNNNNNNNNNNUGAUUUGUGAAAAGACCAAAAUGCCCUUAAAUUUUCCGGACGGAUUCCCUGCCAACUGCCCAACUUUCAAAGGGCAUAACUCGCUCAUACGAACUCGGAAUCGAGUAAUCUCAAUGGCGUUGGAAAGAUCAUUCCACAAGCUUCGCAACCAUAACUGGAACUACUCCUAACUCAUCCUGAGCUAGGAGUUACGACUGACUCAAAGUUGGCCAAAAUCACUGAUUUCCACACUUAGCCAAAUUUUCCAGAUUUUGAAUUUUUCCAAAUUUCCAGAUUCUGGACUGCCAAAUUUCCAGAUUUUAAAUUUUUCCAAAAAUGACUAUUUCCAAAUUCAAGCUUCUUCAUAUUCAUUUUAAAUUGUCGGAUGUUACACGUAAUCAUCAAAUAUAUUAAGGACUACAAAGUUAAUCACUCGGAAGCCAAAGAGGAAGUGAAGAACAUUUGUAAAUGCAGCUAGCACUUUGCAUAUAAGAUAGUAUGGGCAGACACUUGAAACAACAAGUUUGCAAGAGAUUGAAUGAGAGACCAUACCUGAUAUAACUUUUCCAGCAAAUCCUUCACAAACUUUGUACAGGGGCAACAGCAUAUGAUAUGCAAAGCUUUGGCAAUCAACCUCACCUUCAGGGGACAACAAUCUACUCUGAUCUAUAAGCUUUGGUGAAACUGAUUUGAAACAAUUGAAGAUAAUUCUCAUCUGCAAAAAAUUGUGCACAUUCCACAGCAUGAGAACAGGCACUCCUAGCACCAUAUAUGGGAGAGUAAGGCACAAAAUAUUUUUUUUGGAAAACAACGAGAAGGUAAAUUACAUAGCAAUGACUAGGCUAAGAAAUUUUUUGCGAGUCGAGCAAACAGAGAUAUCCUUAAUUAAUCACCCACCUGCAUAUCCUCCACAUGAAGGGAAAUCUUUCCCAUUGUCUUAAGCAAAUAAGAAAUGACCAAGUAGCGCUGGCCUUCAUCUUCUUGAUCGCUAAGGUCAGACACAAGAGACAGAUAGAUGUUUUUCCCUUUCCUUGAAUCAAGCUGUUGAAAAGCCUUAAGCAGAAGACCCUGCUCGUCAUGUUCAAUGGUGGACCAGAACUCAUCUUUACAUUCAUUUUUUCCUAAGAAUGAAUGCAGAGAGCAAAUUGAAAAGACAAGAUUUUGAGUAAUGAGAUCACUGGCAGCAUCAUCAGUCUGCAGCACCUUCAGCUGACAACAAAGAGAAGUAGCUACGAAGAAAAGUCUACUUGGCCUCAUCAAAAAGUAAGUUUCUUGUGGCAGUUCAAGGUUUUCUUUCCAAGCCUCAGUCACAGUGGCAAAGUAGCAAGCCACAAGACGGUUUGAUAUGUUGCGCAACCACAGAUGCGGAUGCAAAAGCAACUCACAGAUUGCUUCCCACAGAUCCUAUGAGAUGUCAAUAAAAAUAAUAGUCAGAAAACAAAUAUGAAUUUAUCCAAAGAACAGGACAAGUUAUUGGCAAUCUGGAAAUGGGAGUGUGGUAGCUGUGGAGCGUACUUUCCCCAGUACAACAAUAACAUACCUAGUGAAAUCCCACUAAGUGGGGUCAGGGGAGGGUAGAAUGUACGCAGUCCUUACCACUACCUCGUGGAGGUAUAGAGGCUGUCUCCGAAAAACCCUCGGCUCAAGUGCAUCAAACCAAAGUAAAAGUAUCCUCUUCAAACUUUAAGCCCAGUAUACUAUUCAAACUCUAAGCACUUGAUUUUCAAAUACUUCUUAACUUUACACCUAGUCUGUAGUUGCAACUAUCUUUUGGCAUGCUGCCUAAGUUUGAGGACUAAAGCAAUUUCACCUAAGUGGUUGUAGCCACACCAAAAAGUAAUUCAUUUCUUAAAUCUAUCACAAAGCAAAAUGAGGUCCAGCGGUUUUCACAUAAGUCCCCUCGUACAUAUGCUAAGUAGGACAUAUUAUGGAUGACUUGGUUUUAGCCCUAUAUUUUAAGACCAUAGCUAAAAUAAUGAAAUACANNNNNNNNNNNNNNNNNNNNNNNNNNNNNNNNNNNNNNNNNNNNNNNNNNNNNNNNNNNNNNNNNNNNNNNNNNNNNNNNNNNNNNNNNNNNNNNNNNNNUAUCAUAAUCAAGAUCUCCCAACUCUACAGUAGACGUGGCAUUCAAUUCACGAAGAAGAUUUGCCUGUAUGAAAUUAAGAAGUGUUACACGUCAACAAACACCUAAAGCAACAAGUUCAAAAGAAAACUAGAUGGUCUAGUAAUACCGUAGGAUGUACAGAAGAAUCAUUCCCUGCGACAGCAUCAAGAACAUCACAAAUAGAAGUACGGACAUCCAAGCCAGCAGAAAUUACGAGUGGAGAAACAGAUUUGACGGUCUUUUUACUGCUUUCACUACCCAAUGGUUCUACAAUAUCCUUAAUAAUCUGUAAAGUGCCUACACAAAUCUCUGCAACCAGAAAGAAAGGUAAUCUUAGAAAAAGAGCAAGGACAUGAGACCAAACAGGUCCACCAAAACUGUAAGACAAAACUCAGAGACUCUGACCAGGGUCUUUGGAUCUCUUUGACAGAAGCGGAAGCAAGAUGUCAAGAAACUUCCUUGCAGCCAAUGGUCCCUUUAUGUGCUUCGAUAAAAGCUUGAAGACAUUGAGCUCUUUUUCCCCAGGAUAUUUGACAAUCUUCCUGGAAAAGUGAAUACAUCAGUUAAGAGGAGAACUGAUGCUAGUGCAUCUCAUAUAACACUUAAUUACAUAAAGAGCAUGCUAAGUCCACUUAGCCAUAUAGGGUGGAUGACACAUACACAAGAAAAUAAGUAAGAAACCUACUUAUUCUCCGGAGAAGCAUUUUCCAAAAAGACAUUUUAGAGGCAUUGUUAUCAUUUGGUAGAUCCAGGUCCAUGACCUAUUUCGAUGGAACACAUUUUCCAUGGUACAUAACACAUUCUCAGAAUUUCGCUCAUUGAUAUCCAUUGAUACGGACCUCACUUGUGGGAUUUCACGGGAUGUGUUGUUGCUUGAGUUGAUAUGCCCUGCUGAAAGUCUUUGUGGGUAGGAGGGAGUAUAAGAAUGAUCCACAACUCCCGGCAAAGUUGUAACAUUACCAUGUUGAUCUAAAUGUAAUAGAUGUACUCCUAUCUUCUUUACUAUGGCUCCGCCACUGCUAUCCUCUACUCUUAUCUGUUCCCCGCCUUUGAUGUUCAGGCCUUUAAAAGGUCUAUCAUUUGCGUAAGGUAAGUAAUAUACACAUGAUACUUCUCCGUGACCAUCAGGUAUAUCAAAAGGCAAAAUCCAUGAAAAACUCUUUUUAUGGGAAACAGUAACAACAAGGUGUUCAAGCUCAUGUACAUCGCAAAGGCGGCAAACAAACCAGAGAACCAUUCCUAAGAACUUGUUAUUAUGUACUGUGGGCAUAGUCAAACAGAUAGAUGGAGCUGUUACUUUAUUGCUGCACCAAUCUGGAAUCUCAUUGCUUUCGAGAUUAAUUUGUAACAACGACUUCAUCAGACAAAUUAAGACACAAUUAGAUCAUUAAUUAUUAAUGUGAUACGAGAGAGAGAUCAGAGAGGGAGAAGGACUAACCUCAUACCAUUGAUAUUUUCUACACGAAAUUGAUAGAGCAGGGGCACUAAAGAAGCCUUCACUGAAUGGAUUCUGCAGACAAGUACAAUUAUUCAUGUCCAUCUUCUUUAUUGAAGGGAGGUUGUCCAACCCUGUAAUCUUGACCAGUUUUUGGCAAUUCCUAAGUUCAACAACUCUAAGGUACUCUAAAUUUGAUAUUGAUGGGAGUGUUUGAAGGUUCUCACAAUCAUUCAAAUACAAGGACUUCAACCAUGGUAACUUGGAAAAAUCAAAGGGUAGAUAGAGGAAACUGUUGCCGCUCAAAUCUAAAUGAUAUAAGUUGGAUAAACUCCCAAUAUCCCUAGGAACAUCAGCCUCCGAGAAACCACAAUAUGGAAGGCAUAGAAUCGAAAUAAAUUUUGACAAGGAUACUAUGGGGCGUACUCUUGUUUGAGAAAACCUCCUUUUGGUCUCUAAGUAUUGACCUCCCAUUUCCAAUUCUAUAAGAUUUCCUAGCAUUUCAACAGAUCCAGGCAAUUCUUUUAUACCUGUUUCACCUGCAUUAAGAAAUCUUAGGCUUUGCAUAUCUCCAAUGUCAACUGGCAGUGUUUGUAAAGAUGAGCAGUCAUUAAUGCUCAAGUAUUCAAGGGAUUUUAGCUGGCAUAUGCUGCUCGGAAGAUCCGUAAUCUUUUCGCAACCAUUCAAUUGAAGAUCAGUUAGUCUGUCCAAAUUUCCUAUUGAUGGAUGGAUCUCCUUAAGACUUGAGCAAUUGUCAAGCCACAAAGUCUCGAGACUUCUUGAACCACAGAAGUUUGGAGUUCUUCUGAGGUGCUUGCAAUCAGAGAGAUCCAGCAUUUUCAAAUUUCUACAAUACUAAAAGUAAACAAAAUAUUGUUUUAAUUAAGAUUUUCUUUAUCUUAAACAUAACACAUAAAAUUGCAGAAUUGAGUAACGAACCUGCAAAUUCAAACCAAAUUCUUGGAUAUUGCUCCCUUUCAUAUUCAGAACUACAAGCUUCUCAGAUGGAAAAUUUGACGGUAUACAUUUUAAAGGACAUUCUUUCCAAGACAACCAUCUGAGCUCCUUGGACAAUAGCUCAAAAUCUCCACUAAUAUGUAAGUCGUCGAUUUUAAGCACCCUAAGAUUUAUCAUUUUCUGAAAUGCUUUGGUGUUCAGCUUCACACCCUUUAAUGCCUGUCGUUCUACCACCAAUAUUUCUACAUUUUCAGAACCCUACAGUUUGGUAAAAAGAAAAGUACUAUAAGACCAUGUUAUGUAUGAUAAAUUAAGAAAGAGAAAUGCUUUAUACAAAUUGAAGGUCAAACAAAGAAAAUAAAUUAUGUACCAAUAAAAAUAAACUUACACAUUAUAUCCAACUAAAGGAUAUUUAUUUGAUAAUUUUGUCUUUGAUAGCUUGUUUAGACUUCAGUAAAUGUUCAUUUCAAGUACAGAAUGGUUCAAACAUCUAAAGAUACUUACUAACCGGAGAAGAUUUAAGCACAAAUGCAUAAAUUAUAAGCAAGUGUAUAUCAAUAUGAAAAAAGAAGAAGAAGAAGUAUAACCGAGAUAAAGAUAAUGAAAUUUACUGACUUUAUUUCCUUGUAGGACAUCAAGGACUUCUUGAGGGUUGACCAAUCUACUCCGUUUUCCAAAGUCUCGAGGUGAUUCCAUGCGAACGAUUUCUCUUCCCAUAUCCCGCACUAGAUCAUGCAUCACCAAACGACGCCGAUCCCUUUGGAGCAGGUGUCUUUUGACUAGAGUUGCAAUUGCAGUUUCACAAUAAAAACCACAGGGGUUUAAUGUUUUGGUAACUUCAUCCUCAUCACAUCCAUGGAAAGCGCACGCAAUAUCAAGGAAAACACUCUGAGUAUUGUCAUCAAGUCCAUCAAAGCUUAUUUGGAGAAUCUUUUGAAUAUCAAAAUGAGGAAUUGUUCUUAGUUUUUUGAACUCGUAUCUCCAUUCUUCAACGGAUCUCCCUUGCAGAUGUGACCCCAAUGUCACAAGAGCUAAUGGUAGCCCACCUGAAUAUUUUAUUAUGUCUUGUGCCAGCUCAACAUAUUCUUGUGGUGGAGAAAAACAGUUAAAAGCAUGACAAGAAAAGAGUUGCGGGGCUUCAUUGUCAUUUAAAAGUUUGGCCCGGUAUAUCUCACUUGUUGUAAGCCCAUAUAGCAAAUGUUCAUCUCGAGUUGUAAUAAUUAUUACACUACCAGAGCCAAACCAACUUCUUUCUCUUGUUAAGGAUUCUAAUUGGCUUCUAUGAUCCACGUCAUCAAGAAUAAUUAGAACCUUCUUUGACCCAAGUCUUGCUUUGAUUAGACUAACACCUUCAGCAACACUAUCAACUUCAAAUUCCUUAGUUUUGAGGAUUUGAUGAAGUAGUUUCUCUUGUAGCUUGACUAGAACAUAUUCUUCAACUUUUGAUCUUAUGUCUGAAAGGAAGCAACUACCGUCAAACUGUUGAAAUAUUCGAUUGUAGAUAGCUUUUGCCAAAGUUGUUUUCCCAAUUCCACCAACGCCACAUAUACCAACCAUGCGAACUUCAUGCUCACAUCCACUUUGCAGUAACACCUCUAUAUGUUUGAUAGGAGAAUCUAAUCCAAUUGGGUAAUGAGCAACAUCUAGAGGUGUUGGGUUAACCUCUUGCAGAACUUGUUUUAUAAUACUUUCAAUAAACUUUGAUUCAUGCCUACAGUUUUUGCAACAAUAAAUACUCAAGUAUUUUAAAUUAUUUGAUGAACAAAAUGAAAAUCAAUAGCCAAAAGAUAACAGAGUUUAUAGAAUGGAGAUUAUCCCUUGUCCCAAUCUACGGUUUGAUUUGACACGAAAUUUAAGAAAUAUAAAAAGACUUUACAAUGUUCCAAAAUUAACCAAGUUUUAAGCUUAGGCAAAUGCUUAAAUUCAAAAUUUAAUAGUUGAAUUAAGAAGUCUUACCCAUCAGCAACAUUUCUUAAAUCCCAUCCAGAUAAAUUUGCUGCUUCAGUAAGUGCAGCUUUCCACUUUUCCAUUCUUUCAGCUCCAACCAAUCGUUCCUUGUGUUUUGCCAAAGCUUCGUCAAAGGACGAAGUUUGCCUUCGCACUUGAGAAGGAUCAACAUCAUAGAAAAUAGGCAAAACUACCUGCUUUAACCUCUGUUUGCAAUCGAGAAUUUUGACAAGUUCAUCAAGACACCAACUAGACGAAGCAUAAUUUUUGGAGAAAACAACAAUGGCAACCCUAGAUUGUUCAAUUGCUUUCUUAAGUUCAAUUGAAAUUUCGUCUCCUUUUCUCAAUUCCUCAUCAUCUAUGAAAGUAUUAACUCCGACUUGAUACAAUCUGAAAUAAAGAUGACCUGUGAAGUUUUUGCGAGUAUCUUCACCUCUGAAACUGAGAAACACAUCAUAACAUAAGUUGGAAGAAGAAGAUGAUUCUCCUUGAGUAUUCAUAUUUGAUGACAAUAAAUUAAAGAGAUUUUUAGUCAAUUUUUUUGUUUAAUUAAUUAAAUAGAGAUGUGAAGCAGCUCUUUAUAUGCCCACAAGUAAUUGUUUGUUCCUGGAAAUUUAAUUUUGGGUCAACUCAUUUACAGGCCCCAAAGAAGGUUAACAGAAAUGUAAGGGAAGUUUCCAAGAUAUUUCAUAGACAUGUUGCGUUCAAUUUUAUAUGUUAUAAUAUUAAAAAUAGAUAUACAAUUUACUUCCACUUCUUCCGUAGAUUUUUACUUGUUCACAUUAUAAACUAUAGUGAUCAUUUUUAUUUGUACAAUUUAAAAAUAAUCAAAAAUAAGAACUUUUAAUUUAUUUAUUUUAAAAUGUGUCAUACUUCCAAUAAUUCACUUAUGAACCAGUGAGAGUAGAUAAUGAGUGACUUGCUUUCACAUUUAUUGUCAGCACAACUCUAUCAGUCUUCUUUUUUUUUCAUCACUUUCACACUAUCGACAAGUGGAUUGACAUUACCAUGUUGGUCUAAAUAUAGCAGAUGGAUCCCUAUCUUUUUUAUUGCAUCUUUGCGAAAGAACAAAUAGUCAGACUCGUGAACUGUUACCUUUGAUCAUCUGGUCAACAAAAGGACUAGUUAAGCAAGAUAUGUAAUAUACACAUGAUACUUCUCUGUAUUGUCCGAUCGAGUAUAUCAAUAUCACAAAUUCUUGACAUAGAUACUCUCUCUCUAUCGGAUACAGCAAUACUGAAGCGUCCAAAAGUGGAUGAAAGUCUCUUAAAGUCGCAAAAAAAAACAGAGAAUCAUUCCUAAGAACUUGUACCCCUUAUCAUGUACUGUGGGCAUAGUGAAACAGAUAGAUGGAGAUGUUACUUUAUUGCUGCACCAAUCUGGAAUAUCAUUGCAUUCGACACAAAUUCGUAAAACUUGCUUCUUCAGAGUGUGAAAUGACAGAGCCUGGGCACCUUGAUUGAACGAUCUCCUUCAUCCUUGAGCAACCUUGAAGCUUCAAAGUCUCGAGACUUGUUGCACCGUUGAAGUUUGGAGUUUUUUUGAGGGCCGAGCACCAAGAGAUAUUCAGCUCCUUCAACCUUGGGCAACACUAAAUGUCAACCAAGUACAUUAAUAUUCAAGUUAUACAAGACUAUUUUGUAUAAUUUCACUAGUCAAUGAAAAAUGUAGAAUUGGGCAACAAAUUAAACCUGCAAAUUCAAGCCAAAUUUUUCGAUAGCACUCCCUUCCAUAUUAAGAACUACAAGAUUCGCAGCUGGAAAAUUUGGUGGAAUAUAUUUUAAAUGACAUCUUUGCCAAGAUAACCAUUUGAGCUCCUUGGGAAAAUGCCACAAAUCUCCAUGAAUACGUAAUCCAUUGAUUAUAAGCACCCUGAGUUUCUUCAUUUUCUUAAAUGCAUCGGUGCUAAACUCCACUCCCUCUAAUUCCCCUGGUUCAUCUAACCUCAUUACUUGUACAUUUCCGAAACUCUGUAGUUCAGAGAAAAUGUUUUAAUUAGGACUAAGAAUUGUAACACGACAUACAAUUAAAUUAAAAAGGAACAAGGAUUUACUCACGUUUUUUCCUCGUAAAACAGCACAGACUUGUUGAGGUAUGAAUAAUCUACUCCGUUCUACAAGGCAUUGAGAUUCUGAGCGAACAAUUUCUCUUCCCAUAUCUCGCACUAGAUCAUGCAUACUUACACAACCCCCAAGUACCCCUUGGAGCAACUGUUUUUGGACUAAAGUUGCAAUUUCACAUUUAGUGUGAAAACCACAUGCAUUUAGUAUUUCAGUUUUCUUGAGAGUCUUUUGGAUAUCAUCAUGAGGAAUUUCUUUUAGUCUCUUGAAUUUGCGUCUCCAGUUUUCUAUGGAUUCCCCUCGAAAAUGUGAACCCAAUGUCACAAGUGCUAAUGGUAGCCCACCUGAAUAUUUGAUUAUGUCUUUCGUCACCCCAACAUAGUCUUUAGGUGGAGAAAGACUGUCAAAAGCAUGACGAUAAAAAAGUUGCUGAGAUUCAUUGUCAUUUAAUUGGUUGAUCAUACAUCUUUUUGCAUUAAGCCAACUUAGCUAAAGCUCGUCUCGGAUUGUAAUAACUAUUAUACUACCCAAACCAAACCAUUUCUUUUCUUUUGUUAACGAUUCUAAUUGUUUUUUUGUGUCCACUUCAUCAAGAACAAUUAGAACCUUCUUUGACCCCAGUUUUCUUUUGAUUAGAUUGAUUCCUUCAGCAACACUGCGAACUUUGUACUCGUUGGUUUUGAACAGUAUAUUGAGAAGUUUCUCUUGUACACUUUCUAGACCAAUCUUUUUUUCUAGCAAUCUAACAUCAGAAAGGAAGCAACUACCAUCGAAGAUAAAUAAUCGAUUGUAGAUAUUUUUGGCCAGAGUUGUUUUCCCGAUUCCACCAACUCCAUAUAUACCAACCAAGUGAACUUCAUCUACGUGUCCAUUUUGCAAUAACGACUUUAUAGGUUUAGUACGAGAAUCAACUCCAAUUGGGUAAGAAGCAACAUGUAGAGGUGUAUGGUUGACCUCUUUCUUCAUAUCUUGUAUAAUCAUUUCAAUAAAUUCAGCUUCAUGCCUACCAAUAUUUUUACCAAAAAACACUCACAUGAUGGGAGGUGUUACGCUUUAAAAUAGUUGCCUAUCUAUGGAUGGCAAUGGGGCGGUGCGGGACGGGGCGCGUUGAGCUUAAUCUAUAAAAAAUUUAAUUCGCUCUGCAUAACAAUUUUUUUCAUUUUCAACCUGCCCCGCAUGAAACUCCCCACAUAGUUUUUUUAAUAUUUUUCUUUUCUAGUUAAGUUUGACACUAAAAAUAAAAUUCAUAAAAAUAAAUUCAUUUUUUCAUUAAGUUGUAUUAAUUUAAUAGAAAAUGACCUAAAUUUUAUUUUUUAGAAGUCAAUUGGUAAACAUGUAAGAAAUUGUAUUAAUUUUUAUUGAAUCAUUUUCAUUUACCAUCUUGAAUAUUUUAGUAGCUUUAGAGAAAUUAUCUUAAUAAAUAAUGUUCUAUCACUCUUAUAGCAUGUAAAAAGUUAAAAUUAAAUUGAAUCCACAUAAUGCCACAUAUUCCGGCAACCCCGUCCCACAUAGCCUUAAAUCCACUCCAUCCCGCAUCCGCCCCGUUUCAUUGUUAUCUAUGGCUAUCAAACGACCCAAAAUUGUUAACAGAAAUAAAAAGGAAGUUUCCUAAGAGGUACUUUCUCUUUUGGGUAAUAACCAUAGUUAAUAGUAUAAUUAAAAACAUUACAUUUCAUCCUUGUAGGAAAUUACUUAUGGGGUUCUUGAUAGGCAAUCUUACUGUGGAGGAAAGUUGAUAGAAAUUGAAUGGAAACAUUCAAAUUCUUUUUCUUUUUAAUUGAAUGGUUUUCACAUUCUAAAUUUUCUCUACCCACCAAAGGUCAAUUCUAAUAGUGGUUGCAUCUUGAAUUGGACCCUUUUUAUUUUUAAACAAAUUUCUUAGUACACAAAACAAAUAUAUUGCUUACUUUAAAAGCAAGGUAUCAUAAAUUCACGUCGAAACAUUGUACUUGCCCUUUAAAAUUUUACAACUUAUGAUUUUCAUCUUUUUUUAAAAAAAAUAAUGCAAGAAAUAUGUCAUGAUGUUCCACUAUGCCUUUAUAAAUCUCCAUUUAUCUUUGUUUUGUUUGUUUAAUCGAAAUUUAAUCUUCUUACUGUUACGAUUACCAGAUUUUACACACUACUUGCCUAUUCUUUCUUCUUCUAACCUUUUCUUUUCCUUUUUGAAUAUUUUCUUUUAAUAUUAGUAUUUCUUUUGAAUGGUCUAACCAGUAGUUGAACUUAGAAGCUUUCUUUGGUUAUGAAACCAAAUUAAUAUUAUUUACCUUAUUUAGAGGUAUUGCCACUAUAAGUAAUACAACGAUUAACUAUUUUAUGCAAAACUUUCGUAAAUGUGCUUUUACAUAAAUUUCCAUUCAGUGUGACACACACGAAGUAAAACCACAUGUUUCUUCUUUUUGCAUUCCAAAAAAAAGGAAGAAUAUUCUUCUCCAUUACUAAAAAUCAAUAAAUUACACAGUUCAAUCACUUACAAUGUUCCCUGGCAUUGCAUGUUAAUCAAAGAGACACUAUAUUCACUAUACAAUGAAAAAGUUGAUUCAAUUUUUUAAACUAAGCUUAGUGCAACUCAACAUACUACCACUAUACAAUGGAAAAUUUGGUUACAUAAAUUAAACAAAAUUUUCUAUAGAAGCUACUGCCUAUAUCGAACAACAAAAUUUUCUAUAGAAGCUACUGCCAUCGAAGAUCGAUGCUCAAUUGUUCAUACCUAAUAAUGGCUUUGUAGCCCUAUAAUAGUACACAUUCUACUACAUCCAUCUUCCCAUCUUCAUUGACAUCAUUUUCCUCUUCUUGUGUGCUUUAUGCUUUUCUGCAAUCCUCAGCUUCCUCUUGGCAUUUCUCAUUGGAUUAACCACAGCAAUGACCUUCUCUUCUUGUUUCCUCUUAUCCCUCUUCGAUUUGAUAUUCUUCCUUAUAUGACUGUAAAUUUGGACAAAAAUAUGUGUUCCUAUAACAUUGCUUAUGCUCCCUCGCACUCCUUCAGCCAGUUGUUUCACGUCGUCUGUGGAGAUGAUGCAAACGUAAUCAUCAAAUAUAUUAAGGACUACAAAGUUUAAUCACUCGGAAGCCAAAGAGGAAGUGAAGAACAUUUGUAAAUGCAGCUAGCACUUUGCAUAUAUGAUAGUAUGGACAGACACUUGAAACAAUAAGUUUGCAAGAGAUUGAAUGAGAGACCAUACCUGAUAUAACUUUUCCGGCAAAUCCUUCACAAACUUUGUACAGGGGCAACAGCAUAUGAUAUGCAAAGCUUUGGCAAUCAACCUCACCUUCAGGGGACAACAAUCUACUCUGAUCUAUAAGCUUUGGUGAAACUGAUUUGAAACAAUUGAAGAUAAUUCUCAUCUGCAAAAAAUUGUGCACAUUCCACAGCAUGAGAACAGGCACUCCUAGCACUAUAUAUGGGAGACUAAGGCCCAAAAUAUUUUUUUUGGAAAAACAACGAGAAGGUAAAUUACAUAGCAAUGACUAGGCUAAGAAAUUUUUUGCGAGUCGAGCAAACAGAGAUAUCCUUAAUUAAUCACCCACCUGCAUAUCCUCCACAUGAAGGGAAAUCUUUCCCAUUGUCUUAAGCAAAUAAGAAAUGACCAAGUAGCGCUGGCCUUCAUCUUCUUGAUCGCUAAGGUCAGACACAAGAGACAGAUAGAUGUUUUUCCCUUUCCUUGAAUCAAGCUGUUGAAAAGCCUUAAGCAGAAGACCCUGCUCGUCAUGUUCAAUGGUGGACCAGAACUCAUCUUUACAUUCAUUUUUUCCUAAGAAUGAAUGCAGAGAGCAAAUUGAAAAGACAAGAUUUUGAGUAAUGAGAUCACUGGCAGCAUCAUCAGUCUGCAGCACCUUCAGCUGACAACAAAGAGAAGUAGCUACGAAGAAAAGUCUACUUGGCCUCAUCAAAAAGUAAGUUUCUUGUGGCAGUUCAAGGUUUUCUUUCCAAGCCUCAGUCACAGUGGCAAAGUAGCAAGCCACAAGACGGUUUGAUAUGUUGCGCAACCACAGAUGCGGAUGCAAAAGCAACUCACAGAUUGCUUCCCACAGAUCCUAUGAGAUGUCAAUAAAAAUAAUAGUCAGAAAACAAAUAUGAAUUUAUCCAAAGAACAGGACAAGUUAUUGGCAAUCUGGAAAUGGGAGUGUGGUAGCUGUGGAGCGUACUUUCCCCAGUACAACAAUAACAUACCUAGUGAAAUCCCACUAAGUGGGGUCAGGGAAGGGUAGAGUGUACGCAAUCCUUACCACUACCUCGUGGAGGUAGAGAGGUUGUUUCCCUAGUCUCAAGUGCAUCAAACCAAAGUAAAAGUAUCCUCUUCAAACUUUAAGCCCAGUAUACUAUUCAAACUCUAAGCACUUGAAUUUCAAAUACUUCUUAACUUUACACCUAGUCUGUAGUUGCAAACUAUCUUUUGGCAUGCUGCCUAAGUUUGAGGACCAAAGCAAUUUCACCGAAGUGGUUUUAGCCACACCAAAAAGUAAUUCAUUUCAUAAAUCUAUCACAAAGCAAAAUGAGGUCCAGUGGUUUUCACACAAGUCCCCUCGUACAUAUGCUAAGUUGGACAUAUUAUGGAUGACUUGGUUUUAGCUCUCCUAUAUUUUAAGACCAUAGCUAAAACAAUGAAAUACAGCAGCACUAGCACUAAUGAAAUAAAGGAUAGAGAGAGAAAAUAUAGUAAUUUUUUUCUUUCUACAGAGACUAAUAUCCAUUCUAUAGAGGAUAGAUAUAGAAGAUAUUUUAUCUUUUUAAAUUCUACAAAAACAAACAUCCAAUAUGUGCUAUAGAGUAUCAAAACAAUGUCUCAAAGGCAAUUCAACCAGUUAUGAAUAUCCAUUAGCUCCAUUUUAUCCCAAUAGAAUAAGUCUGGAUGGCAGGCAAAUCUUAUAAAUGUUCAUAUGUUGUUGUUGUUGUCUUAUUUACAGAAGUAAUCAGUUAGUACCUAGUAGUAGUCACUUUAAUUUCUAACAUAGGAUUAAAAGAAAGGAAUAAAUACCUCAAGAUCCUUUCUGAAGCACAACUUAGGAAAUUGAUUUAAUAUCUUCUCAAACAGAACCAGUGAAUAAUAUGCUUCUUUCCAAGAUGAAAUCGUUGCAUCAUUCGGUAGAUCCACUUGCUUAUUUGUAAGAACAUUAACAGCAGAUUGCAAGAUGUUUCUCAUAACAGGUAGGAGGCUAUCAAUAUACUUUUGGAAACCAUCUUUAAGUCCUUCAAUGAGUAACCCCAAAACCUGUAAAAGAAAUAAUGAAGUCUUGAAACAUGUUUUUCUAUUUUUUGAUGAGGAAGGAGUUAUAUCUCAGAUUCAUGACAAAAUAAUGACGUCAGUUUUUGUCCAUUCUUCCGGCUAUUUAAUUCAUAGUUCAUAUACAUAAACGAAUAUGAAAAAAGUGAAUGACAUAUGGAACUUGUAAUCCUUCUUCGGUAUUUCCAAACUUGCUCCACGAUGGCAUAAUGUAGUUGAAUAAAAGAACAGUUUGGGGUUUUCACUCGUUUACCUGUGCUGCAGCACUCCAUAAAUGUGGUUUAUCUCCCAGAUACCAGGACCGACUAAACUCAAGAAUUGACUGGAGUGAACGGGGGCUGACUCGUCCAACAAGUAACUUUAUGACUGUACCAGUCAUUGAACGGACUCUGUUGUCACGAUCAUUCGCCAGACAAACCACCAAAUGCAGAAAAAACGUCUGAGAUUGUUCAUCUAUGAUGCUAACUGGGAAUUUCAUUAUAACAGCAUGAAGCAUUUCAAGGAUAGCUUCUCUUCCAGUUGAAUGCUCAUAUCUGAAAAAUUCAAAAACAUCAUUACAGAGAUGUCACCAUCUAUAAAUUUUACCAAAUGAAAUUAUUGAUUGUGCCCUUAUGUCCUUGCCUUAAGUUUGAAAGUAAGAAAUCAAGAUGUUGUUGAAGACGUUUCUCAGAUAUAUGGUAGUCCAGUAAAAACUGCAGCAAAAUUUGGCUGCUUUUCUUACGAAUUGAUUCAACUUGACUAGUCACCAUCAACACUGCAAGAUUUCUGCAACUACCAACUUCCUACUCACUAUUGCUUUCAACAGUGAGAGAGCCACAAAAGAGGGAUUUCUUUCAAGAUCAACAAAAAGAGGAAACUGGAUUAGCAUAUGCAGUUGAUCAGUAGAAAGUGUGAUCUUAGUGCUACGCAAAAGCACAGUUAGCAACUUAACGCAAGACUCCAAUAAUGGAUUACUGGAAGUUACUGAACCUUGAGCAAUAUUCAGUAAUGAAUUCUUUAUCUUCUCUGCCUGAGAUUCAAGAGAUGGCAAAGGGAGCCUCACCAGAGGAGAUAAGCACCUAAGUGAGGCAGACAUGACAUUCUCAUAUUUUGAGUUUAAGCAUUCACCCAAUAAUCUUACAAAUGGAUCUAGCAUUGACAACAACUGCUCAUCUUUCUUGUCAAAUUUCAUGUUCUUCAUGUAAUUCUGAAGCACUCCAAGAGCAAAUUCAGUAAUAAGAUGGGAAUAUCGUGGAUCAACGCUGACCAACUUAUCUGAUUUAGCAAUCUGGCUGCUUACUCCAUCUUUCUUUUGCUUACCUUCCAUUAAAGUCGAUGUCUCUGCAUGCCCUGGAGAUUCAUCUUUUAUGCCAUCUUUGAUCAGACCAUAUUCAUAGAUAAAGAGUUCUGUCUGGUUAACGGAAGGAUUACACUGUAUUCCAGCAGCUAUAUGAGAGAACAUAUUCUCAAAUUUUGAUUUUACUUUUGGAGUCAGCUGCUUCUGUAGAUGCUUAAGAAUUGGCGCAAGCAGCUUCAGAGCAUGUGUUUUGAAUGUGAUGCUUUGGGCAAUCAAUUUAAGGGUAUCAUAUGACUUCUGCUUCCUAGUCUCUUCCAUCUUUGAAGCAAUCUUCUCAACCUCUUUCUCCUCUGAAAUAUCACUAAGUAUAUCAUUUAUUGCAAUCGAGAGAAGAUCCUCUAAACAAAAAUCCAGCUUCCCACUACUGGGAUUUAGAAGAAAUUUUGAUAGUAGAAAAUUGAGAGUGAAUCCCAAAACAUGCAAUUCAAAUCCUCUCUUCAGAGUGCCUCUCAAGACUUUGACAACAAAUUGCAAGUACUCCAGCCCUAGUUCUUUUAAACAAGCAGCCAAAGCAGCUCUGGCUUCAUCACGAACACUUUCCAAACGAUUCUUAAGGAAAUUCGCUAUGCGAUGCAUCAUAGAUGGAAGGUGCGAUUCCAUGAUGUCUCCCGAAAUUCCGCAAUAACACCUUUUGUUUAUCUGGUUUCAGUGUCAUCUCCCGAAAGCAUCUAUUGAGUAAUGCAUAAUACAAUCUCCAGUCCAUGAAUUUAGAAAUUGAUCCAACAGCUUCCAAACAUGCACUUCUAAUAUUUUCACCCUUUCCAACUUGUCCAUCAACCAACAUUUUAAAGAGAAGAGGGAUAAACACUUUAUUUAUGAGAACCUGCACCAGAAUUAUUCCCAACUAUUAGUACAGCUUAGCAACACAGAGCACAAAUUGAUGCUUAAAGAAAAAGGCAAGUAACCACCUUAGACAGAUUCCCGGAAUAUGUAACUCAUCGAUUUUAAGCACCCUCAAAUUUUUCAUUUUCUUAAAUGUCUUGGUGCUCAGGUUCGCGCCUUUUAAUUCCCCUGGAUCUACCACCAGUACUUCUACUUUUUCGGAACCCUGUAGUUUCAGCACAUAUUAAUUGAACAAAAGCAAUUAUAAGCAAAUAUUUAUCAAAUUAUUGAAAAAAAUUAAAAUCACGAAAGAUAAAGAAUCUACUGACUAUAUUUCCUUGUGGAACAUCUCGGACUUCUUGAGGUUUGAACAAUCUACUCUGUUUUCCAGAGUCUCAAGGUGAUUCCAUACGAACAAUUUCUCUUCCCAUAUCUCGCACUAGAUCAUGCAUCAUCAAAUAACGCCAAUCCCUUUAGAGCAAGUUCCUUUGGACUAAGGUUGAAAUUGCACUUUCAGAAUAAAAACCACACGCAUUUAAUGUUUUGAUAACUUCAUCCUCAAAAAAUCCAUGGAAGGCACACACGAUAUCAAGGAAAACACUUUGAGUAUCAC